GUGGAAAAUCUACCUCACAACCCUGGCGUCCUGCUCCAGCCCCCGGGCGAGAGCCCGCUUGCUAUGUUCCCGGGGUCUUUGCAGCCACGCGGGCUGUCUGCGCCUGCGCCCGCGCCCAGGGCUCCGCGGCGGGGCGGGGCCGCUGAGGAAGGGCGUGUCUCCCGCCAGCGCGCUGGGGGCGGGGCCUAGGGGGGGCGGGCGGCGGCGACCCGCGGCCUGACCUUCCCGGGCGCUUGGUCCCGUGACGUCACCUCGCCGUGACGCGCACGCGGUAGGAAAACUAAGGAGGAUCUGGUGAUAUUUGUCAUGAGUGGAAUUAUGUGGAACAAUGUGGAAACACAGGAACUUGAACCAUACACACAAAAAUAGGAUUAAAAGGAUUUACCAUACAUCUUAUGACUCUUUACUGGAGCCUUGGGAGACAGCUCAAAUAAAUAUGUUAAUGUACGUUUCCAUGACAACCAUCACACAGCUGAAUUCUAAUUCUAACACCGACAAAUAGAUAAGGCACAGAGCCUUGCCACGUGUUGCCUGGAUACCGUGAUGCUGCUGCCUUCAAGAUGUCUUUGCUUUGCACUCCCUAAAGUCUCCCAGAGUUGGGUUGUAUCUUUUACAAUAAUAAGGGUUUUGGAAGGUAAGGUCCUUAAGUAAAAACA
RNAcentral lists this long non-coding RNA (656 nucleotides) under Balaenoptera musculus (blue whale). RNAcentral describes it as "lncRNA (ENSBMSG00010005823.1)". Lineage: Eukaryota; Metazoa; Chordata; Mammalia; Artiodactyla; Balaenopteridae. The record is from RNAcentral.